RNAcentral lists this long non-coding RNA (2722 nucleotides) under Homo sapiens (human). Its description in RNAcentral is "non-protein coding lnc-MICALL2-1:5". The record is from RNAcentral. Lineage: Eukaryota; Metazoa; Chordata; Mammalia; Primates; Hominidae.
AUCUGUGUGAUGCAUGUGUGUGCAACCGUGUUCAUGUAUGUGGUGCAUGUACCCAUGUGUGGAUCUGUUUCAUGAAUGUGAUGCAUGUGUGUCCACGUGUGCACCCGUGUUCGUGUGUGAUGCGUGUGUGUGCACACACAUCUCUGUGUGUAUUCCUAGCACUCAUAGCUGCCCUGGAUCCAUAUCCAGCUCUCGUGCCACUUCCUGUGUGACCUUGAGCAGCCAGCAGCCCCGUGGGUUAGCCCCCUGGGGAGACAUGGCCAGGUUGGGCAGGACGUGGGUGUAGGGCUUGUGAUGCCAACCCUGUGCCAGUCGGGAGGCCCAGGGCAUGGGGAUGGCCGGGCUACCCAGCGAGCUGUUGGCUGUGCUGGGACAGACCCCAGGCUCCCAGUGGCCCUGCUCUGAAGCGUGGCUCUGUCUCCCCACCUGGGGGCAGCCAGGUCCCCCUCCCCACCCCGCCGCAGGAGACUGGCCGUCCCUGCCAGCCUCGACGUUUGUGACAACUGGCUUCGGCCGGAGCCCCCUGGCCAGGAAGCCCGAGUGCAGAGCUGGAAGGAGGAGGAGAAGAAACCUCACCUUCAGGGCAAACCAGGUCAGCCCCAGAGACACCGCUGCUGUUUGGGGUGUACGUGAAGGGAGCCUUCCUCUGAGGAGGCAAUGCCUGCUGGGGCUUUGGAGGAUGCAUUCACAGGACCUAGAAUGGAGGGAAAGCCUGGAGGAAGGACCCAGCCCCGUGCCCCAGGCCCGCCCUCAUGAAUAGAGACCCUAGCUGUUUCAGAGUACCUUGUUACAGACUCAUGGUGAUGAUGGAAUGUCUGCUUCUGGCAGCUUGAGGGACUGGGGUGGCUGGGGUGUUGCUGACCUGGAGGAGGGCAGGGUGCAGGGUGGGGCUGGGCCUGGAGGCCACUCAGGUGUCUGUGGGGCUGGGUCAGGGCAGUCCAGUGGGCGUGUGGGGCAUUAGGGAGGCAGGGCUGGGGCCAGCUGUGCUGUGCUGAGGUCAGGCUCCUUCCAAGCUGUGUCCUGGUCACGUUGGGCCUGGUGGCCCAGGUCCCAGAGGCUCACCCUGCUCCUUCUCCAGGGAGACCCUUGUCCCCGGCCAAUGUCCCUGCUCUGCCUGGCGAGACGGUGACCUCCCCAGUCAGGGUGAGUAGUGGUGGGGAGCCGGGCAGGGGCCCAGCCCUCCGGCAUCCUCACCGCCCCUCCGUUCCCAGCUGCACCCCGACUACCUCUCCCCGGAGGAGAUACAGAGGCAGCUGCAGGACAUCGAGAGGCGGCUGGACGCCCUGGAGCUCCGCGGCGUGGAGCUGGAGAAGCGACUGCGGGCGGCCGAGGGAGGUGAGCGCCUCGGCCUGGCCCUGGGCCAGCCCGACUCCCACAGACACCCUCAGUCCUGGGGCUGGGGGCCAUGAACUCUGGCGGGCCCCCCUGCCCCAGCUGGCUCCUCUCCCCAGAUGACGCUGAGGAUAGCCUCAUGGUGGACUGGUUCUGGCUCAUUCACGAGAAGCAGCUUCUGCUGAGACAGGAGUCAGAGCUGAUGUACAAGUCCAAGGCCCAGCGUCUGGAGGAGCAGCAGCUGGACAUCGAGGGCGAGCUGCGCCGGCUCAUGGCCAAGCCCGGUGCGUCCCCCGCGCGCCAGCCAAGGGGCCCCAGCCAGGGAUGCCGCGGAGCCCAGGAUGUCUGGGGGCCGGCUCUGUGAGGCCACCUGACUGUCCUGGUGGUGAGACCUUCCCUGGAGCCAGGCGAGCCCACGUUUGAGUUUCAAAUCUCCCACCUCCUGGCUGUGUGUCCUCAGCCAAGGUACUUAACCUUGCUGUGCUUGGGUUUCAUCCUCUGCAAAGUGAGGAUGCUUGUAGCACCCACCUCACGCAGCUGUUGUGAGGAUUAAACGAAUCAAUUCGCACAAGGCAUUUAGUGUAGCAGCAGUCAGGGCGAGCCAUAGGCAUUUGUCUCGUGAUGCAGGGUGCCCUGGCUGAGGGCACAGGCCCAGGCCGUCUGCCUCUGCCCUUUCCUUGCUGUGCUGCAGGGACAGCGACGCCCUGAGCCUCAGUGUCCAUAUCUCUGCAGCGAGUGGUGUUUCUGCGAGAUGAUGGGGAAGGAUCCCAGCACACGGGCUCUGACGUGGCCGUUCCUUCCUUCAUUCACUUAUUCACUCAUUCAUUCUGCUCCGGAUCCCCCCAAGACCCCACCUUCUUCCUCCAAAAGAGGAGCCUGGCGCUUGGGUGGUGGGGACAUUGUGUCCUGUGAGGGGCAUGGCAGUGGUGGGGGGGGCUCCUGCUGACGAGCCAUCCCCACAGAGGCUCUGAAGUCACUGCAGGAGCGGCGGCGGGAGCAGGAGCUGCUGGAGCAGUACGUGAGCACCGUGAACGACCGCAGUGACAUCGUGGACUCGCUGGACGAGGACCGGCUCCGGUGUUUCCCCCCGGGCCGGCCUGCCGUGACGAUCACAGCCCUGCCGUCUCAGGUCACGGUUUUGGAUUCUGCGCUAACGAGGUCUCCCAGGUGGGCUGGAAACACUGAUGAAGACGGAUAGAAAAAACACCAGCCCACCGGAUUAUUAAUAAAGAUAAUCACACACACCCCUUCGUCGGCAGCCGGCCUGACACUUUAUAAAGCACGUUAGGAUAUAAUCCAAUUGAAACUGCAAUAUCGAGAACAUCUCAUCUUAUCACAAAUUGAAAUUAUAUCACAUUCCUCUUUUCUUAAAUUAAAAAGCUAAAACCUU